UGAGAUGGUAAAAAUACUGAUUACAGGUC
Molecule: small RNA, 29 nt
Filed under: Bombyx mori (domestic silkworm)
Lineage: Eukaryota; Metazoa; Arthropoda; Insecta; Lepidoptera; Bombycidae
Description: ovarian small RNA-32179
Source: RNAcentral